AUGGAAAAAUGUGGGAUCCGUAAAUACCGUAUUAUGGAUAUUUUGUGCUUUCAAUACGGUGGAUUUGAUAAGGUUGGAUGCAUAAAGAGGGACGUUUACAAUUUCUGCCACGCUAAUAAGCAGGAGACAAUCAGUGCCGGUGAUGCUAAAACGGUGAUCAUGCACAUGAUGGCGAGGCGAGAGCGAGAUGUGGAUUUUUUCUUCAAGUACUUGGUAGACGAGCAUGGCCAUCUGAAGGGACUGUUCUGGGCUGAUAGUCAAUCGCGACUUGACUACGAGGCUUUUGGAGACGUCAUUGUUUUUGAUAGCACAUACAGAACCAACAAAUACAAUCUGCCAUUCGUGCCUUUUGUCGGGUUGAAUCACCACCGCAGCACUGUUAUAUUUGGCUGUGGUAUAAUUUCUCAUGAAACAAGCCAGGCAUACGAGUGGAUGUUGCGGACCUUUUCUGAUUGCAUGGCACAGAAGCAUCUGAUAUCUGUGAUCACAGAUGGGGACCUUGCAAUGCAGAGAGCAAUAAGGGUGGUCUGGCCAGACUCAAACCAUAGACUAUGUAUAUGGCACAUUCAGCAGAACAUUGUACGCCAUCUGCAUGAUGACGACGUAAAGGAGGAAUUCAGAUCUUUCAUUUAUGAUACUUCUUCCAUUGAAGAGCAUGAGAUAAAAUGGAUACAAUUCUUACAACGGAAUAAAGUAACCAGUGAGGAGUCUUGGCUGCAUCAGAUGUAUCAGAUGAGAAAGUUGUGGUGUGCUCCAUAUCUUGAGGGGCGUUGUUUCCUAGGAUUGAGCAGCAAUCAAAGGAGUGAGAGCUUGAACUCUGUGCUACAUACGCAUCUUGAGGGUAAGAUGUUGUUGUUUGAAAUGCUAGAGCACUAUGAGCGUUGCCUUGCGUCGCGACGGAUUAACGAAGCUCUCCAUGACGUCGAAGCCUUGCAGUCCGUUCCAUUUACAGAGGAAAAUGCUUCGCCGCUUGAGAAACACGCCGCAACAGUUUUCACACCUAGGGUCUUUAAGAUGGUCUUAUGGAGCAUAGAUGCUGUCAGCAAAUGUCAGAUUAGAGAGAUACUAGAUGGAUCAGAAGAUUCCACUUAUGUUUUGUCCAAGCAGGAAAGAAUGGAUAAAAAGUUUGGAGUGCGCAUUGAAGAGCAAGGAGGUCUUUUGCACGGGGUGAGUUGUUCUUGCCGUAAGCUGGAAUGCGUAGGCACACCAUGUUCCCACAUUUUUUACAUAUUGGGGAUUUUAAAACAAACAAUUCUUCCCGGUUGUUGCGUUCCCACUAGGUGGACUAUGAAUGCAAAAUGUGCAUACGCACCUACCAGAAAAAACCAGAUGUAUGACUAUUCGCUAAGCCUGCAGAGGUACCACGAGUUGCGGAAUUGUAGUCACGCCGCAAGUUUCCAGGCAUGCCACUCUGAUGAGGACUAUCACCGUCUAAAGAUGCUUUUGCAAGCACAACAUCAUGGCAAGCAAUCAAGUUUUGAACUAGCUGACAGCAAGGAGUCAACUAAUGCUCAGCAUAACAGCAUUAGGUUUGGCCCGUUGAUGCCGCACUCCUAG
RNAcentral lists this ribosomal RNA (1557 nucleotides) under Triticum aestivum (bread wheat). Its description in RNAcentral is "partial small subunit ribosomal RNA". The record is from RNAcentral. Lineage: Eukaryota; Viridiplantae; Streptophyta; Magnoliopsida; Poales; Poaceae.